This 387-nucleotide ribosomal RNA is filed under the name uncultured Alphaproteobacteria bacterium. RNAcentral's name for it is "bacterial SSU rRNA". It matches the Rfam family "Bacterial small subunit ribosomal RNA", at positions 8 to 426 of the family's 1533-position model. The record is from RNAcentral. Lineage: Bacteria; Pseudomonadati; Pseudomonadota; Alphaproteobacteria.
AGAGUUUGAUCAUGGCUCAGAACGAACGCUGGCGGCAGGCCUAACACAUGCAAGUCGAGCGCACUUCGGGUGAGCGGCGGACGGGUUAGUAACGCGUGGGAAUGUACCCUUCUCUACGGAAUAGCCAUUGGAAACGAUGAGUAAUACCGUAUACGCCCUUUUGGGGAAAGAUUUAUCGGAGAAGGAUCAGCCCGCGUUAGAUUAGAUAGUUGGUGGGGUAAUGGCCUACCAAGUCUACGAUCUAUAGCWGGUUUUAGAGGAUGAUCAGCAACACUGGGACUGAGACACGGCCCAGACUCCUACGGGAGGCAGCAGUGGGGAAUCUUAGACAAUGGGCGCAAGCCUGANNNHGNMAUGCCGCGUGAGUGAUGAAGGCCUUAGGGUCGU